AUCGGCAGUCGUAGACUCCGGUUCCUCCGCGCCGUCCGCACGGACCUGACGACCGCUCGCGACGUUCUGUUAGCC
Molecule: small RNA, 75 nt
Filed under: Xanthomonas vesicatoria
Lineage: Bacteria; Pseudomonadati; Pseudomonadota; Gammaproteobacteria; Lysobacterales; Lysobacteraceae
Description: sX9
Rfam family: Xanthomonas sRNA sX9
Source: RNAcentral